CUUGGUCAUUUAGAGGAAGUAAAAGUCGUAACAAGGUUUCCGUAGGUGAACCUGCGGAAGGAUCAUUAUGAAUUAUAAAUAUUUGUGAAUUUACCACAGCAAACAAAAAUCAUACAAUCAAUAAUUAAAUAAUUAAAACUUUUAACAAUGGAUCUCUUGGUUCUCGUAUCGAUGAAGAACGCAGCGAAACGCGAUAUUUCUUGUGAAUUGCAGAAGUGAAUCAUCAGUUUUUGAACGCACAUUGCACUUUGGGGUAUCCCCCAAAGUAUACUUGUUUGAGCGUUGUUUCUCUCUUGGAAUUGCUUUGCUCUUCUAAAAUUUCGAAUCAAAUUCGUUUGAAAAACAACACUAUUCAACCUCAGAUCAAGUAGGAUUACCCGCUGAACUUAAGCAUAUCAAUAAGCGGAGGAAAAGAAACCAACAGGGAUUGCCUUAGUAACGGCGAGUGAAGCGGCAAAAGCUCAAAUUUGAAAUCGGCCACCAGGUCGAGUUGUAAUUUGUAGAUUGUAUCUUGAGAGCGGAUUAAAGUCUGUUGGAACACAGCGCCUUAGAGGGUGACAGCCCCGUAAAAUCUAUUCUCAUUGUAAGAUACUUUCGAAGAGUCGAGUUGUUUGGGAAU
RNAcentral lists this small RNA (619 nucleotides) under uncultured Galactomyces. RNAcentral's name for it is "eukaryotic LSU rRNA". The stretch from base 354 to 619 matches the Rfam family "Eukaryotic large subunit ribosomal RNA", at positions 1 to 281 of the family's 3401-position model. Lineage: Eukaryota; Fungi; Ascomycota; Dipodascomycetes; Dipodascales; Dipodascaceae. The record is from RNAcentral.